This 253-nucleotide ribosomal RNA is filed under the name uncultured bacterium. Its description in RNAcentral is "partial 16S ribosomal RNA". It matches the Rfam family "Bacterial small subunit ribosomal RNA", at positions 524 to 776 of the family's 1533-position model. The record is from RNAcentral.
UACAGAGGUCCCAAGCGUUGUUCGGAUUCAUUGGGCGUAAAGGGUGCGUAGGCGGGUCUUUAAGUCAGGGGUGAAAUCCUGGAGCUCAACUCCAGAACUGCCUUUGAUACUGAAGAUCUUGAGUCCGGGAGAGGUGAGUGGAACUGCGAGUGUAGAGGUGAAAUUCGUAGAUAUUCGCAAGAACACCAGUGGCGAAGGCGGCUCACUGGCCCGGUACUGACGCUGAGGCACGAAAGCGUGGGGAGCAAACAGG